AUUGAACGCUGGCGGCAUGCCUUACACAUGCAAGUCGAACGGUAACAGGUCUUCGGAUGCUGACGAGUGGCGAACGGGUGAGUAAUACAUCGGAACGUGCCUAGUAGUGGGGGAUAACUAAUCGAAAGAGUGGCUAAUACAGCAUGAGAUCUACGGAUGAAAGCAGGGGAUCGCAAGACCUUGUGCUACUAGAGCGGCCGAUGGCAGAUUAGGUAGUUGGUGGGAUAAAAGAUUACCAAGCCGACGAUUUGUAGCUGGUCUGAGAGGACGAUCAGCCACACUGGGACUGAGACACGGACCAGACUCCUACGGGAGGCAGCAGUGGGGAAUUUUGGACAAUGAGCGCAAGCCUGAUCCAGCAAUGCCGCGUGCAGGAUGAAGGCCUUCGGGUUGUAAACUGCUUUUGUACGGAACGAAAAGCCCUGGGUUAAUACCCUGGGGUCAUGACGGUACCGUAAGAAUAAGCACCGGCUAACUACGUGCCAGCCGCCGCGGUAA
This 498-nucleotide ribosomal RNA is filed under the name uncultured bacterium. RNAcentral describes it as "partial 16S ribosomal RNA". It matches the Rfam family "Bacterial small subunit ribosomal RNA", at positions 30 to 523 of the family's 1533-position model. The record is from RNAcentral.